UGGGUGAGUAACACGUAGGUAACCUACCGAAUAGACGGGGAUACCACUUGGAAACAAGUGCUAAUACCGGAUAGAGCUGAGUAUCGCAUGAUACUUAGAGGAAAGGGCGGCUGUAAAAGCUGUCGCUAAUCGAUGGACCUGCGGCGUAUUAGCUAGUUGGGGAGGUAAAGGCUCACCAAGGCGAUGAUACGUAGCCGACCUGAGAGGGUAAACGGCCACAUUGGGACUGAGACACGGCCCAA
Molecule: ribosomal RNA, 242 nt
Filed under: uncultured bacterium
Lineage: Bacteria
Description: partial 16S ribosomal RNA
Rfam family: Bacterial small subunit ribosomal RNA
Source: RNAcentral